UAUAUACUUCCAUUUUAUUGAACAUGAUUCACUGUCUUAUGAAUCACUGAUAUACUACAUAGUUACAUUCCACUCUCGUGGAAACUGAAAUACAAACUAAAAGGGACAUAUUUUUCCCAUUAUUUAGUACUCGUUUAGCCUGAUAUUGGCUGUCUAAAGCACAAACACCAAUCAUGGAAUUAAUAUUUAGCAUAAGGCCAAUCACAAUAUAGUGAACUUCCAUCCUCAAAGUAAAGAGUGCAGCCGUCGGAGACGCAACAAUUGGUGCAGUCUGUGUAGGUCUUCGUUCCAUUACAGAUCUUGUACACGGUGCCCCCUAUGCAAUUUCGUGGGCAGGGCCUGAGAAGCCCAUGCCUGACAGCCUUGACUUCAAUAUUUGCCCCCAGAAGAAUCAUUC
This 397-nucleotide long non-coding RNA is filed under the name Coffea arabica (coffee). RNAcentral's name for it is "long non-coding RNA (CARA_LNC005725)". The record is from RNAcentral. Lineage: Eukaryota; Viridiplantae; Streptophyta; Magnoliopsida; Gentianales; Rubiaceae.